CUUUAGAAUAGAAUUUAAGGUCUAACCUGCCCAUUGAUUAUUUUAACGGCCGCAGUAUUUUGACUGUGCAAAGGUAGCAUAAUCAUUAGUUUUUUAAUUGAAAGCUUGUAUGAAUGGUUGGACGAGAUAUAAUCUGUCUUUGAGUUAAAGAUAGAAUUUAAUUUUUAAGUGAAAAAGCUUAAAUGAAUUUAAAAGACGAGAAGACCCUAUAGAUCUUUAUAAAAAUAAAAAUUUAAUUUUUAAGGAUUAUUAAUUUUUAUAUUUUUAUAUUUAUUUAGUUGGGGUAAUGGAGAGAUUUAACUAAUUCUUUAUAUUUAAAACAUUGAUAAAUGAUUUUAUUGAUCCAUUAUUUUUGAUUAUAAGAUUAAGUUACCUUAGGGAUAACAGCGUAAUUUUUUUUGAGAGUUCUUAUUGAUAAAAAAGUUUGCGACCUCGAUGUUGGAUUAAAAUUAAUUUUGGGUGCAGAAGUUCAAAAUUUUAGUCUGUUCGACUAUUAAAAUUUUACAUGAUCUGAGUUCAAACCGGUGUAAGCCAGGUUGGUUUCUAUCUUUAAUUAAUUAAUUUAUUUUAGUACGAAAGGACCAAAUAUUUGGUAUAUAAUAUUUUAAAUUUUGAAUAAAA
Molecule: ribosomal RNA, 621 nt
Filed under: Limbodessus nambiensis
Lineage: Eukaryota; Metazoa; Arthropoda; Insecta; Coleoptera; Dytiscidae
Description: partial 16S ribosomal RNA
Rfam family: Bacterial large subunit ribosomal RNA (bases 380-538)
Source: RNAcentral